UGGUGGGUUGCCUUGUCAGGUUGAUUCCGGUAACGAACGAGACCUCAGCCUGCUAAAUAGUAACACAUACUUUCGUAUGUGCUUUACUUCUUAGAGGGACUAUUGGCGUUUAGUCAAUGGAAGUGUGAGGCAAUAACA
This 138-nucleotide ribosomal RNA is filed under the name uncultured eukaryote. RNAcentral's name for it is "partial 18S ribosomal RNA". It matches the Rfam family "Eukaryotic small subunit ribosomal RNA", at positions 1299 to 1458 of the family's 1831-position model. The record is from RNAcentral.